RNAcentral lists this ribosomal RNA (254 nucleotides) under uncultured bacterium. RNAcentral's name for it is "partial 16S ribosomal RNA". It matches the Rfam family "Bacterial small subunit ribosomal RNA", at positions 524 to 776 of the family's 1533-position model. The record is from RNAcentral.
UACGGGGGGGGCAAGCGUUGUUCGGAAUUACUGGGCGUAAAGGGGACGUAGGCGGCCAACUAAGUCGGAUGUGAAAUCCCCAGGCUUAACCUGGGAACUGCAUCCGAUACUGGAUGGCUUGAAUCCGGGAGAGGGAUGCAGAAUUCCAGGUGUAGCGGUGAAAUGCGUAGAUAUCUGGAGGAAUACCGGUGGCGAAGGCGGCAUCCUGGACCGGCAUUGACGCUGAGGGAGCGAAAGCCAGGGGAGCAAACAGG